GCGGUGCGGGGGAGCGCGGGGAGCGCGAAGGCAGGCGGCGCACGGCUGGCGGAGUCUCGCGGCGAGCGGGAGGGGGUCGCAGGGACGGGAUGGUGGCCUGACAGAGAGCGGCCGUCUCGGUAAUGGCCGGACACUGCUAUGCUAAAAGCCCCUGAACACUCUCUCCACCCCUCCCUUGAAGAGUUUGCAAUCUGUAGAAGAAACAAGGCAGGGACACGUACUUUUCCACUAAAAGAGAAUGACGAUUUUUUUCUUUUUUAAACCACACUAACAGUUUAAAAAAGAAAGAAAGAAAGAAAGAAAGAAAGAAAGAAAAAAAAACCUCAAACGACGAAAGUUGAAACUCACUGGCCGGUCUAGAAAGGGAAGGAUGCUAUCAAGAGGAAGAAGGGACAUGAUCAAUGAAAGUCUCUGAUGAGACAACAGGGAAUUGGUUCAAGAGUACAGAGGAGGCAUCAGCCUUUCAGAGUUGUGCUUCUGAUUCUUGCCGUGGCUGUCUUUGUUGCCAUCACCAUAGCAGUUCACAAUGGGGUCGUAAAGCAGUGGAGACAACUCGCAACAUCAACAACGCAUUUGGCCCAGAAACUGCUAAGGAAUGAAUGUACAGUGCAGUGGUGGUUUAAGAAGUUUUUCAAGGAGAGGAGAGCCCUGAAGAAGAGGAACGUAGUGGCGGACCAUCAGAAGUUGACAA
Long non-coding RNA from Lemur catta (Ring-tailed lemur), 691 nucleotides. RefSeq lists it as uncharacterized. The transcript has 3 exons. Lineage: Eukaryota; Metazoa; Chordata; Mammalia; Primates; Lemuridae. The record is from RefSeq and is a predicted model, not a curated record.